CCCAGUUAAUAUGGAACCUCCUGGGACUGCCUAUAAUACAGUAACUGGUACAACAGAGGUGAUCAAGGGAAUUGCUUGAAGUUAGCUCGUACAAAAACUGCAAAGGAGCGAUUUUGUCCAACCUAUGGGAGAUUGCAAAAUCAACUCAAAACUGCU
Molecule: long non-coding RNA, 156 nt
Organism: Lagopus leucura (white-tailed ptarmigan)
Lineage: Eukaryota; Metazoa; Chordata; Aves; Galliformes; Phasianidae
Exons: 3
Source: RefSeq, a predicted model, not a curated record